RNAcentral lists this ribosomal RNA (496 nucleotides) under uncultured bacterium. RNAcentral's name for it is "partial 16S ribosomal RNA". It matches the Rfam family "Bacterial small subunit ribosomal RNA", at positions 28 to 507 of the family's 1533-position model. The record is from RNAcentral.
GACGAACGCUGGCGGCGUGCCUAAUACAUGCAAGUAGAGCGCUGGAGAGAGGAGCUUGCUCUUCUUGGAUGAGUUGCGGACGGGUGAGUAACGCGUAGGUAACCUGCCUGGUAGCGGGGGAUAACUAUUGGAAACGAUAGCUAAUACCGCAUAAAAUUUAUUAUUGCAUGAUAAUUAAUUGAAAGAUGCAACUGCAUCCCUACCAGAUGGACCUGGGUUUUAUUAGCUAGUUGGUAAGGUAACGGCUCACCAAGGCAACGAUACUUAGCCGACCGGGGAGGGUGUCGGCCCACCCGGGACUGGGACACGGCCCCGAACCCCUAGGGGAGGAGCAGGAGGGAAAUCUUGGGAAUGGGGGGAAAGCCGAACGGGGAACGCCGGGGGAGGGAAGAAGGGUCUUGGAUCGGAAAGACCCGUUGUAUGGGAAGAAAGGGUGUUAGAGGGGAAAGUUCACACUGUGACGGUACCUAAUCAGAAAGCGACGGCUAACUACGUG